GGAUACGAGACGGAGAGGCAUCUCUACCGUCUGGAAAGUUUUUCGGUCUGGGAUGGACUCGCGGCCUAUCAGCUAGUUGGUGAGGUAAUGGCUCACCAAGGCGACGACGGGUAGCCGGCCUGAGAGGGCGACCGGCCACACUGGGACUGAGACACGGCCCAGACUCCUACGGGAGGCAGCAGUGGGGAAUAUUGCACAAUGGGCGAAAGCCUGAUGCAGCGACGCCGCGUGAGGGAUGAAGGCCUUCGGGUUGUAAACCUCUUUCAGCA
Molecule: ribosomal RNA, 269 nt
Filed under: uncultured Actinomycetes bacterium
Lineage: Bacteria; Bacillati; Actinomycetota; Actinomycetes
Description: uncultured actinobacterium partial 16S rRNA
Rfam family: Bacterial small subunit ribosomal RNA
Source: RNAcentral